RNAcentral lists this ribosomal RNA (180 nucleotides) under Triticum aestivum (bread wheat). Its description in RNAcentral is "partial small subunit ribosomal RNA". Lineage: Eukaryota; Viridiplantae; Streptophyta; Magnoliopsida; Poales; Poaceae. The record is from RNAcentral.
UUCCAUAGAUUCGAUCCUGGUUUAUUUACAAUUAUAACUUCCACACCUAUUCAUUUGUCAUUUGGGAGAAUUUCCCAUAUAAAGAAAGAAAAAGAGUCAAAGAAAGGAUGGGAGAUGUUUCCCAUGUCAAAUCAAAAAAGAGAGGUGAAAGAUACUAUAACAAUGUGUAUCAUAAAAUAA